RNAcentral lists this unclassified non-coding RNA (200 nucleotides) under Yuchengia sp. RNAcentral describes it as "partial internal transcribed spacer 2". The record is from RNAcentral. Lineage: Eukaryota; Fungi; Basidiomycota; Agaricomycetes; Polyporales; Polyporaceae.
UUAAGUUCAGCGGGUAUUCCUACCUGAUUUGAGGUCAGAGUUCAGUCGAUUGUCUCGAAAGAGAGACGGUUAGAAGCUCGCCAAACGCUUCACGGUCGCGGCGCAAAAAACUAUCACACCGAGAGCCGAUCCGCAAGGAAUCAAGCUAAUGCAUUUGAGAGGAGCCGACGCAAGCCGACAAAACCUCCAAGUCCAAUCCU